RNAcentral lists this ribosomal RNA (488 nucleotides) under Pimelia boyeri. RNAcentral's name for it is "partial large subunit ribosomal RNA". It matches the Rfam family "Bacterial large subunit ribosomal RNA", at positions 1851 to 2597 of the family's 2925-position model. The record is from RNAcentral. Lineage: Eukaryota; Metazoa; Arthropoda; Insecta; Coleoptera; Tenebrionidae.
AGUCUGGCCUGCCCAAUGAUUCUUGAAUGGCCGCAGUAUUUUGACUGUGCAAAGGUAGCAUAAUCAUUAGUUUUUUGAUUGAAAGCUGGAAUGAAAGGUUUGAUGAGAAAAUAACUGUCUCUGUGUGAAUGUAUUAGAAUUUCAAUUUUAAGUGAAAAAGCUUAAAUUUUUUAUAAAGACGAGAAGACCCUAUAGAGUUUUAUAAUUGAUUAAAUAUGAAAGUUAUUGAAUUUAUUUUUUUUAUUUUUAUUUAAUUAUUUUGUUGGGGCGAUGGAAAAAUUUGAAAAACUUUUUUUUGUUUGUAACAUUGAUUUAUGAUUAUUUGAUCCUUUUUUUUGGAUUACAAGAUUAAAUUACCUUAGGGAUAACAGCGUAAUUUUUUUUGGAGAGUUCUUAUCGAUAAAAAAGUUUGCGACCUCGAUGUUGGAUUAAAAUUAAAUUUUGGUGUAGAAGCUAAAAUUUUAGGUCUGUUCGACCUUUGAAAUUUU